RNAcentral lists this long non-coding RNA (9196 nucleotides) under Vitis vinifera (wine grape). RNAcentral's name for it is "long non-coding RNA (VVIN_LNC002532)". The record is from RNAcentral. Lineage: Eukaryota; Viridiplantae; Streptophyta; Magnoliopsida; Vitales; Vitaceae.
AUGAGCCAUAAGUCGAUGAAGUCGGAAGUUUUCGCAACCCAGAGCCCAUAUUAUCGUGGGUUCCAACAGGUUUGUUGGAUAAACGACGCUUGUAGCGCUUGAGAACAGAUGCCAGAUUCUCUUUUCCUUUGGGGAAAGCCACAUCGCCAGCUGCAGUCCCUGUUCUACCCUUUCGGCAAGAUAUAGCAAUCUCCACAUCCUUGAUUAUCUCUAAUAGCAUAGCUGCACUCGUGCAUUUCCCCUUGACUGAUUUUACCGCAGGGGGCAAAAUCCCAUUUGAGACUGGUGGGCUUGACCUUUGCUGGUGUGAUGCUGGAAUUUGAAGGCAGAAGCAUGGGAGCAUUGGAGAACGAGGCUUUGAGAAGGCCAGGUCGAUGAUUCCCUGUAGCAAAUACGGUUCACAUCACGAUGAAGAAAUGGUACUGUUACAGUCACAAACAUGAGAAAACCAUAUGGAAAAUGCAAAAUAGAAUGAAUAUCGAUGUUUCUUGCCACUUUAUUCACAGGUGGGCUUAAAGCGUGACACAAGAAUAAAAAAAUGGAGCACACAUAGCACUACCUAAGUGCAUAAGCAUGGACACGAGGGUUUCCAAAUAUAUAGCAAAUUAAAGAAAAUUAUUUUUUAAGGUAUCUAUAAGUGUAAAUGCAGCACAAAUGCAACAAUCACAAAUCAAUACAUUCAUUACAUAACAUAGCUGAAUUGAAGAUGUUUCAAAGAAUGAAUGCUACAAUAGAAAUAACAAAAAAAAACAGCAAUCUUAAGCUAUAUUUGUUUCCUAGAAAAUUUUAGGGAAAAUGAGGAAAUAAAAUAGAGAGGAAAAGCAGAAAGAACAGAAAAAAAUUAAAGUCAAUAAAUUAUUUUUAUUCCUUCAAACUCAUUUUACUUAUUUUAAUUCUUCUAUAUAAAGAUUAAAUAAUUUAAAAAUAUACAAGUUUAUAACUAAUUUUAAUUAUAUUUGAUUUUCUUGCAUAUUUUUCAUGGUAAAACCAAACAUGAGAAAAUUAUUUUUCUUUCCUAAGUACUUUCCUAGAACCAAACAUAGUAAUAAAAAAUUAUGAUAUGUGAGAGAGUUAGGACUGCCACUGCUUGAAAACCAGUUUAGACUUCACAAAGAUGGCCUGGUAAAGUUGCUGCAAAGAUGAAGAAGUACACCAGUAAGGAGUAAUUUGGUGUGAAUUGAAGACACAAAGCCAAGAGGGGAAGCCCAAAAAGAACAAUAGCCCAAGUUAUAAGAAACUUUCACCCAAAAAGAUAAGCUACCAGAAGAGAAUGGAGGAAAAGGCAUGGCCCUAGACAUUAAAGUGAAGGAAAAGAAAUUGUGGUGCUGACCCCAAGCACUGAGACAAGACAUUGUUGAAUUGAGUUGUUUGGUGCCCCACUCACUGGAAAAAUAGACAUCAGUUUGCCUUGGAUCUUGCUCAAUUCUAUGUAACAAGAAGCAAACUUAAAUUUUCUCACCUCUACUAGAAAGGGGUGAUAAAAAAUUAUCCAGAGGAUAUUGAAUCUAGAUAAGGUUUAGACCAUGACAAUAUAAAUAUAGUUGCCAAAUGAGCCAUUUGAUGCCAUGAUUUCUCAGGAAAGAAGCUAGCUCAAUCAAGUUGUCUUAAUAGUUGCAGAAAUAAUCAUGGCAGAUUGCUCCCUAAGGGACCCAUUAGUGGAGAAAUUUGCUGCAUUAAAGAUGAGCAUAUCUUAUUUGGUCAUUAAGGAGUAGCUAUAUAUUCUCAGAGAAAAUACUGAUUUUAAAUCAGGCCAUGGACUUCAAUCAAGUGAUAUUAGCAUAAACAAAUAGCAGAGCAUUUUCAAAAUUUACCUGAAGACGGUUGAGUACAUAAGUAUAUUUUCCCCAUAGCUCUGGUCGGCUUUCCAUAAAGGACAGAUCAAGAAUUCGAUGAAUGCACCACACCCCAAAGCUUAUUACCAAAUCCACUCUCCAUACACAGCCCUCUCCACAAUGAGGAACCGAGGAAACAAGCAGUAGUGCAGAACCAGAUUUCCUAUCAGAAGAAGAGUACUGAGCCUCCCCCAUGUUAACCCCCCAGCUAAUAUCUCUGGUUUCAGCCUCAUAAAGAAAUUUCUCCCUCGCAGCAACACGAUAAAUAAGAUCCUCAUCUGCACCUUCAUUCGGUCUAAACAACCAAUCAGAUCCUUCCAGUUUGAUGAGCCUCACAAUACAAUGUCGGAAAGAUUGAAGAAGCUUGGCCUCCAAAUGCAGAAGAGAAGAAGCAUCUCGAGUAAUUGAAUUUGACCUACUUCCAACUCCUUCACCCACAACACUACGAGUUUUAUCAGCCACACCAAACUGCUCAAAAGGCUGUCUAGACCAGAGGGAUCCAGUGUCUGAACUUGUACUCAAUGGCAAGGAAAAAGGAUCUCUAUAUGCUUUUGAUGGAGAGAGUUCAUCAAAUGCCAGAGGACCCCGGGUUGUCGAACCAGUAUUUGAGUACAGGGAUUGUUCAUAGGUUGAAUGAUCAAUAGAUGUGCGAUCAUAGGUUGUUCGACCAAUAGAUUGCCCAAAACCAACAGUAUUGUCCCAUUGAGCACUCCUAUCAGACAAAUAUAAAUUCCGAAGAGGAACUGAGAUUCCUGAAAUAUCAGGCAAACUAUGGUACUUCUUUGUAUUGGCUGGAAUCCCCCCAGUCUCGGCAGGUCCUGAGGAGCACAUUUCAUAAUAUGCUCUUUCAGAUUGCAAAGCACUGUUUCUCGAUACUGCACGGUUCUGAAAACCAGAUGCUUGUACAGAGCCUAACCCAUUUUGCAGCUUUUGCCCCAAAGCAAAAGAAAGUGGAUCUCUAUAGUUUGCAGGGCCCAAAGAAGGGGAUUUUGGGGGUGUUGGCUCAAUUGGGGGAUUCAUAUAAUCCGAACUUUUAUCCUUAGCAAUACGACUGAGAUAAGAGGCAAUCUGAUAUCCAUGUACAGUGGCUGGCUGAUAAUCCAAGCCAUCAGAAGAGGGUGGAAGACGCAAACUAGAGUAGCGCCUCUCACCAGCAUCAAGAACAUUGCGGCUGGAAUUUUGCACAUAUGCAUCCAGCAUUUGAAUGUUGUUGGACCAAAAUGAAGAAGACCCCCUUUGAACCCCCCUAUAAGAAGAAUCCAUACUGCUUUGCAUUGUCUGCUGCCUGGGGGAAUCAUAUAAACUUGAACUGAUCAGGGAAUCUGAUCCUCUUCCUCCCACAGAUGGGAAGUACCCAGUAAAUUCCUUCUCGAUACUGUCCACUUUCAGUGAGGAAAUCGCAGGUUUCGAAUCUAGCCCCAGCAACAAAUCCAGUUUCUUAGCCUUUGCUUCUGGAGUUGCCUGACCAUGGAAAUCAUACAAUUGUCCCCAAAACUCAUCAAGAACUGCAGCUAACUGACGUCUUGCAGCACGACCCAACCCAGCUAGUCUUGAAAGACUUCCAGUACCAUUCCCACCUUCAUCACUUUUCCCACUGAGACUCCUAAAUGAUCCUGGACCCUCAGAUGUCAAAGAAGGGCUGCUUCCAGAAAUCUCUUUGGAAGCUUCUUCAGGCUCCCAAGCAUCUCCCUCCUCGUCAUCCUUCUCAAUCUGUGAGUCUCCUUCUAUUCCAACAGUCUUUUCAACUGGGUCCACUGAUUCAAUCUUCAAGGUGCUGGUAUCCAGCAAGUCAACAUGAGAGACUUCAUUAACCACAGUGGUGGGUGAUACUGACUCUACUGUAGAUUCUGGUUUCUCUGAGUGACAUAUUGGGGAGCUGGGAAAUGUAAUAUUAGAACAAUUCUCUUCAAUAGUAGUCAAUAUAGGCCCGUGAUCAGAAUCCAUGAUUGUUUCAGGCAAAUCAAAAUCAAAAUUUUCCACUGGCAUAUCCAAAUGACUCCCAAAGGAUUUCUCCAACGCUGGUGCUGGUUCUUGCUUGUGAACAGGAUCCUCUCCAUGAUAUCUAGAGUCCAUAAAAUCGAUUUCCUCUCUCUCAAAGGAUGGCUCAGUUACAGCCUUUGGUGAAUCCCAGUUCCAUGCCUGUGCAUCUGAUCUGGCACUAGCAGAUUUUAAUGGGGUGGCAGCCAGCCAAAGCAUAAAACAGAGUGAUGUACAUGCAGUGGUGAGUAGAAGAAAAUAUGAGCCAGAUGUAGUAUUCCCAAUGUUCCAUCGCAAGUUACCCACCCAAUCACUAUUUCCAAAUAUCAUCUCUACAACAAAUAUGAUCUUUAAGCCAAGCAUCCCAACUAAUGCAACUACGGCGAGGAACUCCACAAACUGAGAAACUUUGUAGACACCCAUUAUUGAUCUUGAGGAGGCAACCCGGACAAGAGGGAUGACAGAAGAUGGAAGGAACAUAGCUACCAUAACCUGCAUGAACAAAAGCAACUGAUAUGCCCCUUCAGCUCCUGAAGUCCUCACACAGUACAGGGCUGGAAUAAUCGCAAUUAUCCUGAUUGUAGCAUGAUGAAGCCAUCCAGGAAUGUCCAUUCUCAAUAAAUGAUGCAAGACUACUUGACCGCCAAGAUCCCAGGUUAAUGCUGUGAUUUGAUUACAUAGAAAUAGAACCAGUAAAAAGAAAACAGGUGCAAUUGGACUCCUAAAUACCUGUAUCAAUGUUUUGAAAAAAUAAAAUUUAUUCAGUAUUCAUCAAAUUAAUGCAGAAAAUAAAAUUGCUCAUGAAGCAAUUAUCUAAACAGGAUUUGUUAAAUGUCAAAAGGAACCAGUAAUAAUGGAAAAGUUGAACCUGAUCCAUUAGAGACAUAGCAUCCUGAAAUGUAAGCAAAACAAGGCCUGUGCUAUAGAACACAUUUGCUGCAGCAUUCAUCAGCACAUAAUUCAGCAAGAAAAUGCCACUGAAGACGAAUAAGAUCGCAAAAAUAUGACUAUGACACAAAGCAGCUUUGGAAACAUUUGGUAGUCCUUGAUGCCGCUGCAAGAAUAUGAAAGAUUAACAAAAGUUAGAACUUCGGUGAGAAAACAUAUGAAGAAAAUGCUUAGUUAAAUCACAAAACAAUUCCUAUAAUGAGGAGGAUUUUAGGACUCCUUCCUCACAAAUGAGAAUAGCAUAGUUUCUAGGAAUGUUACAAUUUGAAAGAAAUAUUACUGUCCUUAAAUUCUGCAUGUUCUUAUUGCAGCUUGACUUUUCUCCAAUGUGGAGGCUUACAUGGACAAUCUAGACCAAUCCAUCUUAUUGGAACACAGGGUAGGCCACAUCAACAAUGCAUUUAUUCACCUCAGCCAAGAGGCCUCUUUUCAAGUUCUACCCCAUAAAAAAUUAGGCCAACAGAAAGAGAAAAGGAACUGUGAAACAACAGGAAAACCUGUUUCUCAAGGAAAUCACUAGAAUACUUUGAAGUACAUAUAUGAACAUAUGUAUAGAUAUGCAUGAUGUGAUUUUUUUCUCUGGAUCUACAGUAAAAUAAGUUGAGUUUUAUUGGGAAUUGGAGCAACAAGAGAUCCAACCAAGACAUUGAUAUGUGAGUGCCCCUUGUUCCCAACAUACAUGCAUUAAAUGUAAUGAGCAUCUUUUGCUCAGAUAUUUCACUGUUAUAUGAGCACAUGCAUCCAUGCCUACUAACACCAUCAUCUACCCCAGCAGAAAGGAAAUAAUAAUGUCAUUAUGUGUAUGUAUGAUCAAAUCAAAAGAGGAGAGCCCCAAGGUAUGUGGAUAACAUCCCCAGAAAAUAAGAAGACUUCAAUAGAGCACAGUCAUGAGCAGAUAAAUCUCCAGAAAAUGAAAAUAUACAACAUGACAAAGAUCUAGAUCAACAACUGCUGUGCACCAGUAAUCUAUCACAACUUUAUUAACAUACUGAUACUUUAUGACCAUAUUAUUUGUUAUUUAUCAAUAGAAAAGCUAAGUAUUCACCAUGAAAAUUGUUCAUAUUCGAAUAACAAAGUGCCACAUGUCAACAAUCUAACAAGACAAUAUUGGUAGAUCAGUAAUUCAUUUAUCAGCUCAAUCAGACUAGUGAAAUAGUACGAAGCACAAAAACAGCAUAUUAUUAUAUUAUGACUUAAUGAAAAUGUCUCUGUGAUACCCGUCAGCAUAAUAAGGAAAGAAAUAGGUUGGCACUUGGUCCAUUCCUUAGAUAGUUAUUAGUAAUCAUCCCUUCAGAAAUUUAACUCAUUGAUGGACAAGUAAUUUGACCUUGCCAUUUUCAUAUAUCUCUGUACUUUUUCUUCCUCACCUAGCUUAUAGCUCUCGUCUUGCACUGUUAAGAUGUGCAUGGAUAAUUGGCAUCAAAGAAUUAACACCACAUUGUUACACACAAGAUAAACACACAGACACAAAACUACUUCAUAGAUAACACUCCUUGAAAGGCCCCAUGAUUACCAGAUCAGGGACAAGAAGCAACCUAAACUAGGAGGCAUUGUCAUAUGCCACUUAACAAAGAUAAGUUGCCUUGUAAAGAAGAAAUCGGUACCAAUUACCAAUUCAAGAAAGUAUGGAUGCACAUAGCAUGUAUUUUAGUAAUAAUAAGCAUUGCCAAGAGCUUCUAUAAAUAGUAGAAACCAUGCAUGAUACAUUCCCAAAUGCACCAAUAGCAGUUACAAGUUGUUAAACAGACACUGAGAAUACACCUGACAGCAACCUGAGGUAGAGGUGCUUUCAAGUUAUGAGAGAUUACAUGAAAUGUUGCAUAUGGGAAAAAGACAUGAUUGAAAAAUGUGUUCAAGGACCAUUACAUUGGCAUGCAGCUUCAUCCUAAUCCAAAUCUACCUUCUUCCUAAACAAUAACAACAGCCAAGAACUAGAUAAUAACACAACUGGGUCAAAGUCUAGUACCAAUAUGCAGCAUACAUACCGGUCCACUCUGGAAAUAUACAUAGCAAAAGAAAUAACUGACCAGGCCACACUCACAUGAAAGCAAGCAUACCCAACCUAACCUACAUCAACUAAUCCUCAGCCUAGGGUUCAAACUUGGAAAUGUGGGGCUUGGUCUAAAGUUGAUUAAACUAUAAAUAACCUCCCAAUUUCCUCUUAUACUAUUUCCACAGAAGAGGACCAGUUAUCAAAGUUAGCCAUUCCUCAGUUUAAAAAUACCCCAGUUGCACAUAGUGCCAUCCCGUAAAAAUCAACUGGGAAGAUUUCAAUUCAGGGACUGGCGUAUUAUAAGGUGAAGAGAAUAUGACGUGGUAGAGCCCAAAUACACACAUGAUUUUCAUAUCAUAUGGUCCAAAACUGUAGGCCAUCACAAUGAUGUGAUAAAUAAGUCACAUUGCUCAAUCCAAGUAUUUUGAUCAGAAAUCUUAAAGGGGAGGAACCUUUCCACCUUUCCACUUUCCCAAAUAUCAAUCAAAAUUUAUGGAUGUAUGAACUCAGUUCAGCUCAACAAAACCAUACCUCAAUCAAAAGGAUCGAUAGGAUUGGCCACAUUUUGACUAAUGGUAUGCCAGUUUCAACAUAUUUGCCCUGAGACCAGUUGUCUAAAAACCAUGGAGCUAAAAAUGCAGUAUAGGCAGUUCAUAAUUUAAAGCUAGCGACUAGUCCCCAAAAACAAUAAUGAUAAUAAACUAUCACAUUGCUCAACCCAACUAUCAAGCUUAGCAGCAUCUCUAAUGUCUAAAAACCUUGUUUUUUUAAAAAUCCUCUUCAUGUCCUUUCAGUAACUAUAAUCCCUUUUGAACCUUUACCCAAGCAUGCAUGCAAGCGCACAUACUCAUGCCUAUACAUUUAGAGAAAGGGAAGAAGAAAGGGAAGGGGAUGUGGGGGGAUGGAUGGAAGACACAACACACACACACAGAGGGAGGGAGGGAGGGAGGGAGUUACCUUUACAAUCGAAGAAUGGAGAUAAAAAUUAUGAGGCAUAAUAUUAGCUCCAAGAAGACUCAUCAAUGCAAAUGCACUCUCCCCACUGAACUUUGUUGGCAUCCCAUUAAUUGAAAGUGGAAUUUCUGGUAGACUGAUGAGUACUCCAAGAGCAUAGCAAAGCAAUACAAAACCUACCAUCCAUAUGCAUAAGAAUUUUGCCUUGCCAUUUUCCUGUAUAUGAGCAUUAGCAAUAUUAAACUGAUUUUCUAUGUUGAUGUAGAAUAAUGGAUGUGAAACAAAAAAGCAAAAAAAUAACCAGGCUUACCAGGAGGGUGGCAAAAAGUGGAAAUAAAACAGCAUCAAUAGCAGUCAAAAAGACACAGCUGAACAAGUCCGCCCCAAACAUGAGAUGAAGUCCAUGGGCAAUGCCCAGGAUCUAGCACAAACAAUUCAAUUAUAUGUCGGCAAUGGAACAAGAAUCAUUGUCACUUGUGCUUCUGCUAUAUGACAAUUUGGAUACAAAAGAGUUUAUAUACUAUAACGAAGAAUGAGAAUAUACCAUAGUAAGGUCCAGAGCAAUCAUGGAAAGCUCUGUUUGAAUUCCAAGGAGCAUGCAUGUGGACUUGUCAUACUCAUCACUGCAAAUCUUUGGUAUCACAAAAGGAAAAAAUUAUGCAACCAUUUAAAAAAUCAAUAACAUAAAAAAGUAAAAUAAAACAACAGUCUCAUGCAUAUAAGAAGUUCUUUGUAAUCCUGAGCACUAAUAUUUGCCAUUCAGAAUUUGAUGCAACAGAAUCAGCACUUAUAUGUAUAAUACUGGCAUAAAAGAAAUGAUACCUGUGCAAGAUCUCUUCCGGUCACAACACCAAUCCGGGCUGCCAAACACUGGCAUAAAACAGCAGCAAAAUUGAAUACAAGCAUUAGAGCAACCAGAUCAAACCCAAAUCGGGCACCACCCUCAACAACUGCAGCCCACUUUCCUGGAUCGACAUAUCCAAUUGAUAUCAGAAGCAUAGGAAAAACAGCAGGAAGGAACUGAUGCCGAACAUCUGGCAUAUGGUUAGCGUUAGAAAUCUCAGCUUCCAUAUUGUUUAGUGAUUCUCCAAACAACUAGAAAUCCCGAGUCCACUAUGAUACGAUUGAUUAUUCUAGGUCACCAAAGAGCCUCUUAAUAAGUGCCAACCUCAAUAAUUUACAUGGUUGCUUAUUGCAGACUUCUUUCCAGUACAACAUCGCUGGUCUUCACAAGUCAUUGAAUCAGACAUUUGCAAUUUCUGUGGUUAAUCACAACCAAGUGUACCCACCACAUAUAUCCUAGCUAGAUCCCAGGUCUUUGUAGAAUAUAAACAAGUUCAUCCACAUACAUCCUCUAUAUCACAAACCCCUUGAUCCACUUGCUUCAAUCAAUCCUAAAAGCUCUUCAUGAUAGCACAUUUAGUUCCAUCAACAGCUGGCUUGACAAAAUUUUUAUUACUAGCUGAAAUCAUCAGAUGGAAAUUGGACCCUU